UAUUGGGUUAACUUAUCCCAGAUUAAUGUACCCCAAAAACGUUUGACCUGAAUCACAUUUGCAAUACAAAAUCUUUAACUUAACCCAUUUCAAACUGUAAGUGAAUACAAAAGACUGCAAAAAUCAGUAAAAAAAAAAGAGAAAGAUAAUGGGAAGCAAAAACCUCGAAGUGACACUAGAAGUAUUGUGUAUGGUUUAUCCAGACUUAACCCACUUCUCCUUCACUUUACUUUAUCUAUUCUAUCCUUGGUUACUUUUAGACAACUGGACUUGAUCCAAUCUUAUCUACACUACCCAAAGCGGGUUAUAUUAACGAACUGAACUAUGCAGUGUGAAUCGGUCUCUCAAAAGCUGGGAUUAAAACAAAAUCUAUGUUUUGUAAAAACCUUUGGCUAUAAAGUCAAUUGAAACCCGUGUAUGAAUAUAAGAAUGGUAUUUUAAAAUCGAUUUACGAAAUACCUAUAUGUAUUUCAAAAUAUCGCAACAAAGAAUGACGUAACGUGUAAAUGCCAUGGCCCCUUAGAAAUAGGCCGAAGAUCCAAAGAAACCAAGAACUGGGUGAACAGUAGAAUCUUUCUGGGACGACCUGCUGUACGGAAGAAGGUUGGAAAUCACCAAGUUAUUGUAGCAAAUAAGGGGGUAAAGUUCUUUGGACGAAUCGGAGAUAGAAACUGGGGCCCUUACAUUACCAGUUUGGUGACCAAACUAUUGAGCUACCCAGCCCGAUAUACAAGGAAAAAUAUAAAUGGUGUGUUGCUGAAGAAGUAUGGCUCUACAAUGAAGACGUCUUGUGCUUAACUUGGAAAUGUUAUUAAAUCUGGAUUCACAUUUUACAGACGAAUAUGAUUUUUCUGAGGAUGAAUUUCUUUCCCCAAUUUUAUCACCACUUAAUGGGGAGUGAAACUAACACGAAAACUCAACAUAGUCCAAUUCCCAUUUAAUGACAGACAAGAAAUUCAUCCUAUGUACAUCUGUAAGCUGCAGUGUACUGUUAUACUACUUAAGACGAUGUAAGAAACCAGAAAAAUUGUUAUCAAUCGAAACUGGAGAAUAUGUAUGAUAAUAUUUUGAAGUUGAAUACUUUAAAAUUUACCCCCAUUUGGUUGAAAAAUAAAAUACAAUUUCGCUAUAAAAUCACCUGAAAAAAGAAACGCCUGCAACGAACUCGCGAUUUACGGAUUGUUAGACUCUUUAAAGGGGCAUUAGCUGUCAUUUUGUCAUAAAAAAUUGAAUUCAAUGAAAAUUGCCCCCAUCUUAUAUAUUUAAGUAACAACACCAGCAUUUAAUGAUUUCAGACACUUUUCACCCUCAAAGCAGGCACAUGAAUAUGUAAGUUCGGUGCUCUCCUCCUCCCUUAUAUAUUUCUUUACACUAAAAGCGGUUAUCUAACGUGGUUUUAUUAGGAUUCUCUUUUUUUUUUGUACAAAAUAAAUGUUUUUUUUAGUCAUUAAUAUAUAUUCCCAUGUCAUUGAGAAAUGUUGAAGAAAUGGUUCGCAUCACUUGCACAGCUAAUGCCCUUUUAAGUGUGGGGACUUGAAAUUUUGGGAGUUUUUCCAGUCUUCCUAACACUAAGCGAGAAGUCAGCGGAUCUCUUUCUAUCGGUUAGAUAAGCUACUACACUGUACUAAGUGUACUACACGUACUAGUAUCUCUGACGGUCAUGCAAUUUCAGCAAUCUUACCUAGGCUUUUUUGUAGAGUCUUUCUUGCUAGAAAUUCAAAAGAGAAGAACAGAGUUAAUGCGGUGCUAAAUACAUCAUAUAGUGUGCAAACACAGAUUAGGAAAGAGAGAUGAUGCCCAAUUAUUGAAAUGUACGCAUUAAAAAUGAAACAUCUUGUACAGUUCACACUAUGACGAUUCCAUUAAUCUAAAUACAAAUCAUGUCAUUAAUCAAAAGCUUCUCCUUCUCUGAUUUGAUAUGCACUUAUUUUUAAGAUAAACGCAAAAAAGAAAAAGAAAAGAAGAAAGUUUUCAUGCAGAAAAAAACUCAGAUUCGUCUAGUGCAAUCUAAUUAGUAUUAGAUCUGUGUAAUCCGCUCCUAUACGAUACACUUCAUGUAUUGAAAUGCAUCGUAUAAGAGUAAAAUAUACAGGUAUAUACAGGUAUAAUUUUAAUUAGAUUGCGCCUAAUGUAGACGCUUCACCCAGGCAUGCAAUAUCUAAAUCUAAGAAAGACUAUGUCUACUGAAAAACACGGUAACCGCAUAACUUGAGCUAGCAAGCAUGAUUCUCGAUUGUUUAAGAAAUAAGAUACCGGUUUUAAAUUUCAUUAGGCUGCAAGAUGCAGUGGAUCACUUAAUUAAUUCCUAAAACAACCUUCAUUAACCGAAGGUCGCUAAAAUAGAUUUAAUUAAAGUACCAACCACAUCAAUAUAGAAAUUGAUUACUUAUAAUUUACAUUUGUAGUUAGUAUGGAAUUUGAAGCUCUGUCGUUUUUAAAUUUGAAAUGGCAAUCAAAUUUAUCAUGACACUACAAUUAAAUGAUAUCACGUGACAUUAUGUUUCAUUUUUAUCGUGAACUGAACCACAAGUUCUGUUAUUAUAUGAAAAAGAACGUGUGUGUGUGUAAAUAUAUAGAACUGGUACACGGAUGCUGUGCACAUUGCCUGUCGUGACACAUCUUCACUACGUCGAGGCUUUGCGAAUACACUGAAAAGUUGGCGACCUCUUCCAUACGGUGUAAAGUUUACGUAUCCGCGAAAACUUUAACAUUGUUAAAAAUGAUUUUGUGUAAA
This is a long non-coding RNA of Ostrea edulis (European flat oyster), 2734 nucleotides long. RefSeq lists it as uncharacterized. Lineage: Eukaryota; Metazoa; Mollusca; Bivalvia; Ostreida; Ostreidae. The record is from RefSeq and is a predicted model, not a curated record. The transcript is spliced from 3 exons.